GGGGAGCUUCGGCGCCCUAUACCCGCGGGUGGCAACACCCGUGCAAGCAAACGGAAGACAGAGA
Molecule: non-coding RNA, 64 nt
Filed under: unclassified sequences
Description: L2-Alphaproteobacteria ribosomal protein leader
Rfam family: L2-Alphaproteobacteria ribosomal protein leader
Source: RNAcentral